UACGUAGGGAGCAAGCGUUGUUCGGAUUUACUGGGCGUAAAGGGCGCGUAGGCGGCAUGACAAGUCACUUGUGAAAUCUCUGGGCUUAACCCAGAACGGCCAAGUGAUACUGUCGCGCUAGAGUGCGGAAGGGGCAAUCGGAAUUCUCGGUGUAGCGGUGAAAUGCGUAGAUAUCGAGAGGAACACCUGCGGCGAAGGCGGGUUGCUGGGCUGACACUGACGCUGAGGCGCGAAAGCUAGGGGAGCGAACGGG
This 253-nucleotide ribosomal RNA is filed under the name uncultured bacterium. Its description in RNAcentral is "partial 16S ribosomal RNA". It matches the Rfam family "Bacterial small subunit ribosomal RNA", at positions 524 to 776 of the family's 1533-position model. The record is from RNAcentral.